Molecule: ribosomal RNA, 119 nt
Filed under: Triticum aestivum (bread wheat)
Lineage: Eukaryota; Viridiplantae; Streptophyta; Magnoliopsida; Poales; Poaceae
Source: RNAcentral
GGAUGCGAUCAUACCAGCACUAAAGCACCGGAUCCCAUCAGAACUCCGAAGUUAAGCGUGCUUGGGCGAGAGUAGUACUAGGAUGGGUGACCUCCUGGGAAGUCCUUGUGUUGCAUUUC